GCAUAUCAAUAAGCGGAGGAAAAGAAACUAACAAGGAUUCCCCUAGUAACGGCGAGUGAAGCGGGAAGAGCUCAAAUUUGAAAUCUGGUGGCCUCAGGUCAUCCGAGUUGUAAUCUAUAGAAGUGUUUUCCGUGCUGGCUCAUGUACAAGUCCCUUGGAACAGGGCGUCAUAGAGGGUGAGAAUCCCGUCCUUGACAUGAACUACCAGUGCUCUGUGAUACAUUUUCAACGAGUCGAGUUGUUUGGGAAUGCAGCUCAAAAUGGGUGGUAAAUUCCAUCUAAAGCUAAAUAUUGGCGAGAGACCGAUAGCGAACAAGUACCGUGAGGGAAAGAUGAAAAGCACUUUGGAAAGAGAGUUAAACAGUAUGUGAAAUUGUUGAAAGGAAACGAUUGAAGUCAGUCGUGCUCUUUGGAUUCAGCCGGUUCUGCCGGUGUACUUCCUUUGAGUGGGGUCAACAUCAGUUUUGAUCGCUGGAUAAAGGCUGGAGGAACGUAGUACCCUCGGGUAAACUUAUAGCCUCCUGUCACAUACAGUGGUUGGGACUGAGGAACGCAGCACGCCUUUAUGGCCGGGAUUCGUCCACGUACGUGCUUAGGAUGUUGACAUAAUGGCUUUAAACGACCCGUCUUGAAACACGGACC
Molecule: ribosomal RNA, 642 nt
Filed under: uncultured fungus
Lineage: Eukaryota; Fungi
Description: eukaryotic LSU rRNA
Rfam family: Eukaryotic large subunit ribosomal RNA
Source: RNAcentral